RNAcentral lists this transfer RNA (74 nucleotides) under Ailuropoda melanoleuca (giant panda). It matches the Rfam family "tRNA". Rfam says of the family: Transfer RNA (tRNA) molecules are approximately 80 nucleotides in length. The record is from Rfam by way of RNAcentral. Lineage: Eukaryota; Metazoa; Chordata; Mammalia; Carnivora; Ursidae.
GCCUGGUUGGCUCAUUUGGAAGAGCACGUGAUUCUUGAUCUCAACAGUCGUGAGUUUGAGCCCCACAUUGGGUG